AGAGUUUGAUCAUGGCUCAGGAUGAACGCUAGCUACAGGCUUAACACAUGCAAGUCGAGGGGAAACGACAUCGAAAGCUUGCUUUUGAUGGGCGUCGACCGGCGCACGGGUGAGUAACGCGUAUCCAACCUGCCCAUCACUUGGGGAUAACCUUGCGAAAGUAAGACUAAUACCCAAUGACGUCUCUAGAAGGCAUCUGAAAGAGAUUAAAGAUUUAUCGGUGAUGGAUGGGGAUGCGUCUGAUUAGCUUGUUGGCGGGGUAACGGCCACCAAAGCAACGAUCAGUAGGGGUUCUGAGAGGAAGGUCCCCCANAUUGGAACUGAGACACGGUCCAAACUCCUACGGGAGGCA
This 352-nucleotide ribosomal RNA is filed under the name uncultured bacterium. RNAcentral's name for it is "bacterial SSU rRNA". It matches the Rfam family "Bacterial small subunit ribosomal RNA", at positions 8 to 350 of the family's 1533-position model. The record is from RNAcentral.